Molecule: long non-coding RNA, 1389 nt
Organism: Contarinia nasturtii (swede midge)
Lineage: Eukaryota; Metazoa; Arthropoda; Insecta; Diptera; Cecidomyiidae
Exons: 3
Source: RefSeq, a predicted model, not a curated record
UCACAACUGUCAUCACUUUUGAAUACAAGAUUCAAGAAUCAAACCGGCCUCUCUCUGACUAAAGAGCAUUUCGAUUAUUUACACAAAAAACUCAACCCCAACCCACUUACGAACCCUGAAGAUGAUUUGAUUUCAUUUUCACAACUAUGUCAGAGUCCAUUACCGGAUCAAGAAUUCACGUUUUACGCGUGGUUUCAUGGCAUCAUGAAAUUGAUUCAAAACCACCUUCGUAAUCAGUGGCAAGCAGGACUUAUAAUUGGCUUCAUUGCAAGAGGGGAAGCUGAACAAUUACUUUUAAAAUGUACGCCAGGCACAUUUUUACUGCGAUUCCCUGAAUCUGUAAUUGGUGGUGUAUCCGUUACGUCGGUGCAGAAAAAUGAUGAAGGACAACUCGAAGUGUGCAUGUAUGAACCACUUUGCCGAGAAGAUCUAGAUCGUCGACGAACAAAAUUUUCUGAUGUUAUCCAACAAUCAUCGAAAUGGACACAUUUAUACCCAAAUAUUCCAAAAGAGAUAGCAUUCUCAGAUGAUUUUAGCUGUCAUUCUAGAAUUGAAAGUUCUUUUUAUUGAACAUUUUUUUCACCCAUCCUGAAGACUAUCCUUAUAUCAACUAUCACCAACUAUCAGACCAACUAUCCUUUACGGAAGCGAGAGCUGGGUCGAUUCUCAAAAUUUAAUUCAUGGAUUGGAAGUGGCUGAUAUGAAAGUUUUGCGAAUGAUUUCUGGAGUAUUGCGUAGAGAUCAAUGGGAAAAUCGUAUCAGAAAUGAAAGAAUUCGAGAUUAUUUGAAUGUUGAGUCCACGCUCUGCUCGCACUCCAUUUAAAGCAAUGUAUUGGGUUUCGAACACGCAGAUGUGCUGCCACCUGGUAUCUCAAAGUUAAGCUGCUAUAACCCACAUGCUUCUUGUAAAUGAAGAAGAAGAGGAAAGCAAUGUCUUUACAUAGGGUUGAACUUAUAAAUGUCAGAGAGCAGCACAACUGCAGUGUUUAAAGUGCGAUUGCCCUUCAGUUGAGUCGGUUGAUGAUGUAGCAAGAAAGUCUAGAUUGAGAUGGUUUGGUCAUGUCCAACGUAUGAAUGAGUCUAGUUUGCCAAAGAAGGUUUUGUAUGCUGAUGCAGAUGGACCGAGAAAUAGGGGAAGACCUCGUAGACGUUAUUUGGAUUCGGUUAAAUGUGAUUUGGAUGUUAGAGGGUAUGAUUGGCGUAGAGAGACUCAAGACCUGGCUCUCGAUAGGGAAGUUUCGAGAGGAAUUGUUAGAGGAAUUUGAGUCUAGUCGUUUCGUAAAAGACCACACACCGAAAGGUAUAAUCGGUCUAUAAAUGAUUGUUGUUGUUGUUGUUGUUAUCCUGUAGACCAUUUUUUAAUCUUCACUCAUGGCAUAGUCUGAUCAA